ACAGAUUCAGCAGCCUCGCCUCCUGGGUUCAAGAGAUCCUCCCACCUCAACCUCCCAAGUAGCUGGGAUUACAGGGGUGUGCCACCACGCCCAGCUAAUUAUUGUAUUUUUAGUAGAGAUGAGCGUUUCACCAUGUUGGCCAGGCUGGUCUUGAACUCCUGAGCUCAAGUGAUCCACCCACCUUGGCCUCCCAAGGUGCUGGGAUUACAGAUGUGAGCCAGCAUGCCCGGCUGCUUAACCUGUUUCUAGGGUGCCACAGACAGAGCUCAACUGGACUAAAGCUGGGCCUGAAACCCAGGCCUUGGGCAAUAUUUCAGCCUUUCUGAGCACUAGUUUCCUUAACCAGGGAGGGAGCUCGUACAGCUCCUUCUGAGGUCAGGACAGGAGGCACUCACUCUGCCUGAACACUCGGCAGCCCCUCGUGGUCCCCAUCCCAGCAGCCCAGGGUAGGGUGUGGCCUUACUGUCCCCUUCCAUGUUCUGCACCACAGUCAGGCUGAGGCUAGCGGUAUCCAGCUCGGUGGCAUCGGCCUUGAAGCUGAAGGUCUCAUUGUACACAGGGUUGAUGGAGCCCAGCACAGCUGAAGUCUUCUUGCACUUGACAAACUUGUUGUGGUUCAUCAGAGACACUUUGACAAACACACCUAGGGAACGAGGGAUUGGAUCAAGCUGGGGCGAGAUAGAGUGGGGAAGUGAUGAGCUAAGAAAAAUUAGCCUGCAAGCAUGACGUGUCGCACGUCAGCAAGGCUGCAGCCUUGGAUUCUGAUGUCUUGAGAAGAGCGAUUCACCUGUGAAUUCUCACAGCCCUGGCCUCAGAAAGACGGCCCGGGACCAGGCCCGAUGGCACCCCUCUUCCCAGCUCUCAGCCAGGGCGGAAGGCACAAGUGAUGGCCCUGGCCUCCGCAGUCACACUCCUCCUGAAAGCUGACUGGCUGAACCUCACCUCUUGGCUAGCUUGCCACCCAGCUCUUGAGAACAUGUUUGUCCAAGGCCUCUUGGCAGGUCUCGAUGACUCCUUCCCCUAAGGGCCCCCAGUCACCUGCUAAGGCUCCCAGGCCCCUGUGAAACUGGCUCGGUGCCCCAAUAGACUCUCCACCUCCAGACCCUAAGCCGGCCAGCCCAGAGUGCAGCAAGGCACCACACCUACCCUGUGAGGGCACUCGGGCCCCGCGCUGGCCUCUGACAGCACAGGAAGCUUCUGCAUUCACGCUGAGGCCUGUCUUUUGCCUUCCUUAGAUAAACUUGCCAGAAACCCCAUAGUGCUUCAGGCCUUUGGGAUAAUUCCCCUGAGCCCCAUAGGCCAGGGCCUGGCAUUCAGUAGUUGCUCUAAAAUUGUGUUUUCACCCACUCUCUUCCAGGUAGUCAGGACAGGGAAGCCCAGGCUUCUGGUCACCACUCACCAAAUCUCUCCCCUGCCCCUCUAUCAGGGAUCAGCUCCUAUAGGCCUUAACCUAGCAGACUAGGUAAAGCAGAGCUGGUGGCAUCAAGGGUCCCGGGGGCUGCAGAGCCCUGGCUGGUACAGGAGGCUGGGCUCUCCUGUAGGUCUGCACCUUCCCAGCAACGCGGAGGGCACCAGACCCUGCCUGCUCCAGAGGCUGUACCUGAAAGAUGAAGUGCUCGUCAAACUGCGGGUUGGAGGUUUUGCGUUUGGUCUUGGAUUGGAGGAAGCGCCGCUCAUCGGGCAGCAGGUAGAGCUUCACCAGGGGGCUGCAGGUCUCCGAGGGGGCUUGCAGGUGCUGUGCCUUGAUCAAGCCCACCAGCAGCCGCUCAGCCUCCUGCUCAUAUUCCACCGAGAACCACAGCCGCCCCAGGCAGCCGUCGGGGAAGUCGGUCUCACUUUUGUCCUCCGGGAACUUGUACAGCUCUGGGUUGAUGGCCCCCACCAUACAUGCAUCUCCUAUGACAGAGGGUGGGAGGGCUGGCAGGCCAGAGGAAGGCAGGGGCAUGGGAGACAGUGGCAAGCUCUGGGCACCCAUCCCCAUCCUGGCCCAUCCGUCUCUGCUGAGCCUCAGCUAGCCUGACCACAUCUGCCCCACUCUCCUCACCAGGCUAAACACAUCCCCUCUCUCUGGUGCAGCUCCUCCAAGAAGCCUUCUCACCAUGAAGGCAUUGCAUGGCCAGGCUGGGGAUCCAGCAGAGUCCUGCCCCCUGGGAUUGGCCCCCAUCCUUGGAGGUCAGGACCUGUUUCAAGGACACAGUGCCCAUCACCUGGCCUAGCCCCCUUCCAUGGCGUCUAGGGAAUGACUCAGCGAUAAAACAUUGCCUUUCUUCUUCCUCUUCAAAUUAGAAGGGCCAAGGUGAUUAUUGGGUGGUUCCUGUGAUGGUCUCUUGGUAGAUCUUCAGGGCAAAGAGGUGGCAGAAAGCUGUGUUUGCAGCCCCUACCAUUCUGUCCUCUUGGUCAACCAACCCAUCAUCCUAGAGUGGGACCCAGCACAAGUUCUGUACAUGGCGUGCCUGGGUUCCAAUUCCAAUCUGUUGCUUACAGCCUCAGUUAAGACUAUGUAAAAUGGGGUGAUAAUUCCUCCCCCUCAGAGUCAUGGUGAGGUCUCACUCCAAAUCAGCACCCAAGGCCAUAUCUUACCCUCAUG
This 2587-nucleotide long non-coding RNA is filed under the name Homo sapiens (human). Its description in RNAcentral is "HSALNT0357724". The record is from RNAcentral. Lineage: Eukaryota; Metazoa; Chordata; Mammalia; Primates; Hominidae.